This is a long non-coding RNA of Haliotis rufescens (red abalone), 264 nucleotides long. RefSeq lists it as uncharacterized. The record is from RefSeq and is a predicted model, not a curated record. The transcript has 3 exons. NCBI's taxonomy places the organism in Eukaryota, Metazoa, Mollusca, Gastropoda, Lepetellida, Haliotidae.
GUAUGAGUGGGACAGUACACAAUAUAAAGAAGAUGAGGGAAGUAACGUCACAGAAACGUGCAUUGAAGGCGCUCAAAUAUCUGAGCCCCCAGUUACAGAAUUAAGGGCAGAUAUCAUGCACCUGAUGUAUAUUGAGGCUGGCGUCGGUGCGUUGCUGUUGUUGAUGAUGUUGCUGUACUUCCCAAGACGUCCCCCAUUGCCACCGAGUGCAUCUGCCGCCAUUGGGAGGGAAGGGUUUAUGCAGGGACUGAAAGACCUCAGAAA